RNAcentral lists this non-coding RNA (22 nucleotides) under Arabidopsis thaliana (thale cress). Lineage: Eukaryota; Viridiplantae; Streptophyta; Magnoliopsida; Brassicales; Brassicaceae. The record is from RNAcentral.
UAACUGUCUAUACAGACCAUGC